CCUACGGGGGGCAGCAGUCGAGAAUCUUCCGCAAUGGACGAAAGUCUGACGUAGCGACGCCGCGUGGUGGAUGAAGUCCUUAGGGACGUAAACACCUUUUAUGAGUGAAGAAGUAUAUUGACAUUAGCUCAUGAAUAAGGGGCUCCCAACUCUGUGCCAGCAGGAGCGGUAAUACAGAGGCCUCAAGCGUUAUCCGGAUUCACUGGGCGUAAAGGGUGCGUAGGCGGUUAUAUUAGUCGGGUGUAAAAUCCUGGGGCUCAACCUCAGGCUCGCAUUCGAAACGGUAUAACUAGAAGAAGUGAGAGGUAAGUGGAACUCUCGGUGUAGGGGUGAAAUCCGUUGAUAUCGAGAGGAAUACCAAAGGCGAAGGCAGUUUACUGGCACUUUCUUGACGCUGAGGCACGAAAGCGUGGGUAGCGAACGGGAUUAGAUACCCGAGUAGUC
This 444-nucleotide ribosomal RNA is filed under the name uncultured bacterium. Its description in RNAcentral is "bacterial SSU rRNA". It matches the Rfam family "Bacterial small subunit ribosomal RNA", at positions 338 to 795 of the family's 1533-position model. The record is from RNAcentral.